Molecule: signal recognition particle RNA, 298 nt
Filed under: Cebus imitator (Panamanian white-faced capuchin)
Lineage: Eukaryota; Metazoa; Chordata; Mammalia; Primates; Cebidae
Description: Metazoan signal recognition particle RNA (ENSCCAG00000002951.1)
Rfam family: Metazoan signal recognition particle RNA
About the family: The signal recognition particle (SRP) is a universally conserved ribonucleoprotein. It is involved in the co-translational targeting of proteins to membranes.
Source: RNAcentral
GCCGGGCGCGGUGGCACGUGCCUGUAGUCCCAGCUACUCGGGAGGCUGAGGCUGGAGGAUCGCUUGAGCCAGGAGUUCUGGGCUGUAGUGCGCUAUGCCGAUCGGGUGUCCGCACUAAGUUCAGCAUCAAUAUGGUGACCUCCCGGGAGUGGGGGACCACCAGGUUGCCUAAGGAGGGAUGAACUGGCCCAGGUCGGAAAUGGAGCAGGUCAAAACUCCUGUGCUGAUCAGUAGCAGGAUCGUGCCUGUGAAUAGCCACUGCACUCCAGCCUGGGCAACAUAGCGAGACCCCGUCUCU